RNAcentral lists this ribosomal RNA (253 nucleotides) under uncultured bacterium. Its description in RNAcentral is "partial 16S ribosomal RNA". It matches the Rfam family "Bacterial small subunit ribosomal RNA", at positions 524 to 776 of the family's 1533-position model. The record is from RNAcentral.
UACAGAGGUCUCAAGCGUUGUUCGGAUUCAUUGGGCGUAAAGGGUGCGUAGGCGGCGCGGUAAGUCGGGUGUGAAAUCUCGGAGCUUAACUCCGAAACUGCAUUCGAUACUGCCGUGCUUGAGGACUGGAGAGGAGACUGGAAUUUACGGUGUAGCGGUGAAAUGCGUAGAGAUGUGGAGGAACACCAGUGGCGAAGGCGACUCUCUGGUCUGUAACUGACGCUGAGGCGCGAAAGCGUGGGUAGCGAACAGG